UUUUCCUGCCCCAACAGAAAGUUUUGGAAGCGUUUCCUGGCUUCAUCUUGCCAUCUUACUCUGGAGUCUAGUUACAAUGAGGAACCCCCGUCUGAGCCCAAGGGAGCCCAGCUUCGCUCUCUCAACAUCUCUUCCACCACUUCCCGGGGGCUAAGUGGAAAUUCACUCCAGACAGCAGUUCUGCCCCAUCAGGGCACAGCUCGCGUCUGGGCCAGAACUUCAUCUCUUCAUUGCAGAAAGUUAAGGAAAUCAUUGCUCAGCCAGGGAGCAAAGAUUGGCUCUGCAGUUGCUCUUUUAUGGAGCUGUUAACGCAGAGACACCAUUACUUAAAUGUAAUUUUUAGUAUUACAAUUAAAGACUGAUUUGAUUUUAUGAGAUCAUGCAUUUUUAUUUUAUGGACGUUUUUGUAGUUAAAUUCAAUUUAAAAGAUUGUAUUUAAAGUAAGGUAUAAGCACGGAGCGUAUUAAAGUUAUGUAAGCCUGCUUUUGGCGCUGUGAUAGCAAAGCUUCCAGCACUGGAUUACUCUGGUAGCGCCACAUGUUUCCUGCUACAACUACGUACUAGCUCAGGAGAAACGAACUUGGCUUCCUCUGUUUGUGACAGCCCCAAAUCUGUCAAGCCUCACGAAGCUCACUGUCAGUUUUCUGCAGGAAAGAAACACUCCUCUCCUUUCAGCCGA
This 679-nucleotide long non-coding RNA is filed under the name Sus scrofa (pig). RNAcentral's name for it is "lncRNA (ENSSSCG00035026807.1)". The record is from RNAcentral. Lineage: Eukaryota; Metazoa; Chordata; Mammalia; Artiodactyla; Suidae.